RNAcentral lists this ribosomal RNA (566 nucleotides) under uncultured bacterium. RNAcentral's name for it is "partial 16S ribosomal RNA". It matches the Rfam family "Bacterial small subunit ribosomal RNA", at positions 355 to 914 of the family's 1533-position model. The record is from RNAcentral.
UGGGGAAUUUUGGACAAUGGGCGCGAGCCUGAUCCAGCCAUGCCGCGUGCGGGAAGAAGGCCUUCGGGUUGUAAACCGCUUUUGUCAGGGAAGAAAUCUUCUGAGUUAAUACCUCGGGAGGAUGACGGUACCUGAAGAAUAAGCACCGGCUAACUACGUGCCAGCAGCCGCGGUAAUACGUAGGGUGCAAGCGUUAAUCGGAAUUACUGGGCGUAAAGCGUGCGCAGGCGGUUUUGUAAGACAGAGGUGAAAUCCCCGGGCUCAACCUGGGAACUGCCUUUGUGACUGCAAGGCUUGAGUGCGGCAGAGGGGGAUGGAAUUCCGCGUGUAGCAGUGAAAUGCGUAGAUAUGCGGAGGAACACCGAUGGCGAAGGCAAUCCCCUGGGCCUGCACUGACGCUCAUGCACGAAAGCGUGGGGAGCAAACAGGAUUAGAUACCCUGGUAGUCCACGCCCUAAACGAUGUCAACUGGUUGUUGGGAAGGUUCCUUCUCAGUAACGUAGCUAACGCGUGAAGUUGACCGCCUGGGGAGUACGGCCGCAAGGUUGAAACUUAAAGGAAUUGAC